AAUUUUUUGUUGAGAUUUCUGCAACUUAACACAAUAUACUCCCUCAACUUCCAGCAACAGUAACCACAAUAUACUCCCUCAAUUUCCAGGAACAACAACUACAUACACUCCCUCACGUUCCAUCAGUAAAUAAAAAAUAAGAGUUAAGAGUUUUAGGCUUUGCUCCCGUAGUUUCAAGUUCAUGAAAGACAACUUAUUGGCGAAACUUCUGGUGAGUUCAAAGAUGACAGAGACCGUUUCAAGUGAGAAGAUUGAAGCCAUUGAAGGCUAUUUGGUUGGUAUUCUACGAGUUGCGAGGUUGAGGAAAGUGUUGUUAGCAAGAUACGGUUGCAGAGAGAGAGACUUGUGACUAACGGUCUUUACAUGUGGAUUCUGUUGCUGAGGUGAGUCUUCGCAUUGUUUGUGGAGGCUGUCAUCCAACUUUAGUUAUUUUUAGAUUAUAAUUCUGUUCAUUGGGUUUGAAUGCCUGAAAGUUAAACUCAUGUAACUCUGUUUAGAUGCUCCAUGGUCUUGGUGUGGGAUUUGAGGCUAGAGAGUUAUUAUCUAAGUAUUAUUGUUUUCAUAAAUCGUAUUACAAUAAUCGGGUGAAUAAUUACUUUGUGUUUAAUCACUACUUCAACA
Molecule: long non-coding RNA, 621 nt
Organism: Capsicum annuum
Lineage: Eukaryota; Viridiplantae; Streptophyta; Magnoliopsida; Solanales; Solanaceae
Exons: 4
Source: RefSeq, a predicted model, not a curated record